RNAcentral lists this ribosomal RNA (446 nucleotides) under uncultured bacterium. RNAcentral describes it as "partial 16S ribosomal RNA". It matches the Rfam family "Bacterial small subunit ribosomal RNA", at positions 338 to 795 of the family's 1533-position model. The record is from RNAcentral.
CCUACGGGAGGCUGCAGUCGAGAAUCAUUCACAAUGGGGGAAACCCUGAUGGUGCGACGCCGCGUGGGGGAAUGAAGGUCUUCGGAUUGUAAACCCCUGUCAUGUGGGAGCAAAUUAAAAAGAUCGUACCACAAGAGGAAGAGACGGCUAACUCUGUGCAAGCAGCCGCGGUAAUACAGAGGUCUCAAGCGUUGUUCGGAAUCACUGGGCGUAAAGCGUGCGUAGGCUGUUUCGUAAGUCGUGUGUGAAAGGCGCGGGCUCAACCCGCGGACGGCACAUGAUACUGCGAGACUAGAGUAAGGGAGGGGGAACCGGAAUUCUCGGUGUAGCAGUGAAAUGCGUAGAUAUCGAGAGGAACACUCGUGGCGAAGGCGGGUUCCUGGACAUUAACUGACGCUGAGGCACGAAGGCCAGGGGAGCGAAAGGGAUUAGAUACCCGAGUAGUC